This 453-nucleotide ribosomal RNA is filed under the name uncultured organism. Its description in RNAcentral is "partial 16S ribosomal RNA". It matches the Rfam family "Bacterial small subunit ribosomal RNA", at positions 331 to 801 of the family's 1533-position model. The record is from RNAcentral.
GUACACUCUGCGGGAGGCAGCAGUGGGGAAUAUUGGACAAUGGGCGCAAGCCUGAUCCAGCCAUGCCGCGUGAGUGAUGAAGGCCCUAGGGUUGUAAAGCUCUUUCACCGGUGAAGAUAAUGACGGUAACCGGAGAAGAAGCCCCGGCUAACUUCGUGCCAGCAGCCGCGGUAAUACGAAGGGGGCUAGCGUUGUUCGGAUUUACUGGGCGUAAAGCGCACGUAGGCGGACUAUUAAGUCAGGGGUGAAAUCCCGGGGCUCAACCCCGGAACUGCCUUUGAUACUGGUAGUCUUGAGUUCGAGAGAGGUGAGUGGAAUUCCGAGUGUAGAGGUGAAAUUCGUAGAUAUUCGGAGGAACACCAGUGGCGAAGGCGGCUCACUGGCUCGAUACUGACGCUGAGGUGCGAAAGCGUGGGGAGCAAACAGGAUUAGAUACCCGGGUAGUCCCAUGAU